GAUCGUCGGUUCGAGUCCUACUGAAAGAAGGCUGAUGAGGAAAUGUUGUGAUUUCCGAAAUAGUUAUCACUUCNACCAUUAUUUCAAAU
Molecule: long non-coding RNA, 89 nt
Organism: Rhagoletis zephyria (snowberry fruit fly)
Lineage: Eukaryota; Metazoa; Arthropoda; Insecta; Diptera; Tephritidae
Source: RefSeq, a predicted model, not a curated record